CGCGUAGGCGGAUGGCACAGUCAGAUGUGAAAUUCCCGGGCUUAACCUGGGGGCUGCAUUUGAUACGUGUUGUCUAGAGUGAGGAAGAGGGUCGUGGAAUUCCCAGUGUAGAGGUGAAAUUCGUAGAUAUUGGGAAGAACACCGGUGGCGAAGGCGGCGACCUGGUCCUUGACUGACGCUGAGGCGCGAAAGCGUGGGGAGCAAACAGGAUUAGAUACCCUGGUAGUCCACGCUGUAAACGAUGUGUGCUGGAUGUUGGGCGACCUAGUCGCUCAGUGUCGUAGCUAACGCGAUAAGCACACCGCCUGGGGAGUACGGCCGCAAGGUUGAA
This 331-nucleotide ribosomal RNA is filed under the name uncultured Pseudomonadota bacterium. RNAcentral describes it as "bacterial SSU rRNA". It matches the Rfam family "Bacterial small subunit ribosomal RNA", at positions 568 to 898 of the family's 1533-position model. Lineage: Bacteria; Pseudomonadati; Pseudomonadota. The record is from RNAcentral.